This 489-nucleotide ribosomal RNA is filed under the name uncultured bacterium. RNAcentral's name for it is "partial 16S ribosomal RNA". It matches the Rfam family "Bacterial small subunit ribosomal RNA", at positions 30 to 507 of the family's 1533-position model. The record is from RNAcentral.
UUGAACGCUGGCGGCCGGCCUAACACAUGCCAGUCGCACGGUAACAGGAAGCAGCUUGCUGCUUUGCUGACGAGUGGCGGACGGGUGAGUAAUGUCUGGGAAACUGCCCGAUGGAGGGGGAUAACUACUGGAAACGGUAGCUAAUACCGCAUAACGUCGCAAGACCAAAGAGGGGGACCUUAGGGCCUCUUGCCAUCGGAUGUGCCCAGAUGGGAUUAGCUAGUAGGUGGGGUAACGGCUCACCUAGGCGACGAUCCCUAGCUGGUCUGAGAGGAUGACCAGCCACACUGGAACUGAGACACGGUCCAGACUCCUACGGGAGGCAGCAGUGGGGAAUAUUGCACAAUGGGCGCAAGCCUGAUGCAGCCAUGCCGCGUGUAUGAAGAAGGCCUUCGGGUUGUAAAGUACUUUCAGCGGGGAGGAAGGGAGUAAAGUUAAUACCUUUGCUCAUUGACGUUACCCGCAGAAGAAGCACCGGCUAACUCCGUG